RNAcentral lists this ribosomal RNA (473 nucleotides) under uncultured organism. Its description in RNAcentral is "partial 16S ribosomal RNA". It matches the Rfam family "Bacterial small subunit ribosomal RNA", at positions 333 to 797 of the family's 1533-position model. The record is from RNAcentral.
ACACUCCUGCGGGAGGCAGCAGUGGGGAAUUUUGGACAAUGGGCGAAAGCCUGAUCCAGCAAUGCCGCGUGAGUGAAGAAGGCCUUCGGGUUGUAAAGCUCUUUUGUCAGGGAAGAAACGGUGAAAGCUAAUAUCUUUUGCUAAUGACGCUACCUGAAGAAUAAGCACCGGCUAACUACGUGCCAGCAGCCGCGGUAAUACGUAGGGUGCAAGCGUUAAUCGGAAUUACUGGGCGUAAAGCGUGCGCAGGCGGUUUUGUAAGUCUGAUGUGAAAUCCCCGGGCUCAACCUGGGAAUUGCAUUGGAGACUGCAAGGCUAGAAUCUGGCAGAGGGGGGUAGAAUUCCACGUGUAGCAGUGAAAUGCGUAGAUAUGUGGAGGAAAACCGAUGGCGAAGGCAGCCCCCUGGGUCAAGAUUGACGCUCAUGCACGAAAGCAUGGGGAGCAAACAGGAUUAGAAACCCCUGUAGUCCCA